This 506-nucleotide ribosomal RNA is filed under the name uncultured bacterium. RNAcentral describes it as "partial 16S ribosomal RNA". It matches the Rfam family "Bacterial small subunit ribosomal RNA", at positions 28 to 523 of the family's 1533-position model. The record is from RNAcentral.
GAUGAACGCUAGCUACAGGCUUAACACAUGCAAGUCGAGGGGUAACGAGAGGAAAGCUUGCUUUCCUUGUCGACGACCGGCGCACGGGUGAGUAACGCGUAUCCAACCUGCCCCCAACUAGGGAAUAACCUUGCGAAAGUAAGACUAAUACCCUAUAAUUUCCUCAGAUGUCAUCUGACGAGGAAUAAAGAUUUAUCGGUUGUGGAUGGGGAUGCGUCUGAUUAGCUUGUUGGCGGGGUAACGGCCCACCAAGGCAACGAUUAGUAGGGGUUCUGAGAGGAAGGUCCCCCCCAUUGGAACUGAGACACGGUCCAAACUCCUACGGGAGGCAGCAGUGAGGAAUAUUGGUCAAUGGGCGGAAGCCUGAACCAGCCAAGUAGCGUGCAGGAUGACGGCCCUAUGGGUUGUAAACUGCUUUUAUACAGGAAUAAAGUUAGCCACGUGUGGUUAUUUGUAGGUACUGUAUGAAUAAGGACCGGCUAAUUCCGUGCCAGCCGCCGCGGUAA